Anthonomus grandis grandis is the source of this 476-nucleotide long non-coding RNA. RefSeq lists it as uncharacterized. NCBI's taxonomy places the organism in Eukaryota, Metazoa, Arthropoda, Insecta, Coleoptera, Curculionidae. The record is from RefSeq and is a predicted model, not a curated record. The transcript is spliced from 3 exons.
GAGGCCGUCAAGGAAUCUAUAAGAUUAAGGAUGAAGAAUAUUAUUACAGCAACGUUUGUAUUAAUAUCCCUAUAUUACUUAUUUUCCAUUAAUUGCACAGGAAUACUUGGAGCUACUACGAGUAGUUUAAACAUAGAGAACUCAAAUAGAAAUAGGCCGAGAGUAGGUUUCUCCAGUUACCACCUUAAAGCCAAUCAAUUUAGAAGAAUGAGACCGGAUAUUUUCCUAAAUGAUAUUGGAGACGACGACGAUCUUUUUGACCUUACCAAAAGGCAGCAGAUAAAUUCAGAUGACUAUGGCCACUUAAGGUUUGGAAAACGUGAUGAGUUCUUCGAUGACUAUGGACACAUGCGCUUUGGAUGAAACAAUGUUGACUAAACGGCUUAGGAUCGAGACCAUUGACGUAUAUUUAUAUCUUUUGUAAACAUUGAAUAAGCUAUAAUAAAUGGUUCUAAAAAGCAAAUGAAAAAUUUAAA